Pelobates cultripes (western spadefoot toad) is the source of this 241-nucleotide non-coding RNA. NCBI's taxonomy places the organism in Eukaryota, Metazoa, Chordata, Amphibia, Anura, Pelobatidae. The record is from the annotation of a GenBank genome assembly.
CCAAAGACUAUACACUUAUCAAUGUAACAAUUAUUCAAACCAUACAACUAUCCACGCUAUUAAUCCAUAUAAACUAACCGAUCACAUAACAUUUCAACAAAUUCAUCUCUACAAUUAUCCGUACUAUUAAUCAACUUUUGACUAACCAACUAUAUCACAUUCUAGUAACCUCAUCUUUACAGUCAGUGGUUAUGGUACAGUUAGUAAGUGGUUAUAAUACAGUUUUAAAGUCACAGAUCAG